RNAcentral lists this unclassified non-coding RNA (221 nucleotides) under Hevea brasiliensis (rubber tree). The record is from RNAcentral. Lineage: Eukaryota; Viridiplantae; Streptophyta; Magnoliopsida; Malpighiales; Euphorbiaceae.
GUUUCUUGCUGGAUGAGCAAAUUUCUCUGGUCAUUUCUUGAAACCAGUCAAUUGCUUGAUACACGAGGAUUGGCAUCAAUCUGACUGUCUGGUUGGUGGCGACAUCAUGUUGGUUAAAACAGCACCAAAUGGGAAUAUUAGGUAUUCAGGGAACCAACUGAUGGGAUAUGAUCAAGGAAUCAAGCGCGGAAUAGUCAUUGGCAAAUGAAACGGCCAGGGCU